Molecule: ribosomal RNA, 600 nt
Filed under: uncultured bacterium
Lineage: Bacteria
Description: bacterial SSU rRNA
Rfam family: Bacterial small subunit ribosomal RNA
Source: RNAcentral
CCUACGGGAGGCAGCAGUGGGGAAUCUUGCGCAAUGGGCGAAAGCCUGACGCAGCAACGCCGCGUGCGGGAAGAAGGCUUUCGGGCUGUAAACCGCUUUCAGCAGGAACGAAAAUGACGGUACCUGCAGAAGAAGGAGCGGCCAACUAUGUGCCAGCAGCCGCGGUGAUACAUAGGCUUCAAGCGUUGUCCGGAUUUAUUGGGCGUAAAGAGUUCGUAGGCGGUCGAGUAAGUCGGGUGUGAAAAUUCUGGGCUCAACCCAGAGACGCCACCCGAUACUGCUUGACUUGAGUUCGAUAGGGGAGUGGGGAAUUCCUAGUGUAGCGGUGAAAUGCGCAGAUAUUAGGAGGAACACCGGUGGCGAAGGCGCCACUCUGGAUCGAUACUGACGCUGAGGAACGAAAGCAUGGGUAGCAAACAGGAUUAGACACCCUGGUAGUCCAUGCCGUAAACGGUGGGCACUAGGUGUGGGUUUACCUAUUAACGAAAUCCGCGCCGUCGCUAACGCAUUAAGUNCCCCGCCUGGGGAGUACGGUCGCAGACUAAACUACAAUAGAUAGACGGCGUGAGACGUGCCGACGGACGACGACGAGGGAGUAGG